RNAcentral lists this ribosomal RNA (253 nucleotides) under uncultured bacterium. RNAcentral describes it as "partial 16S ribosomal RNA". It matches the Rfam family "Bacterial small subunit ribosomal RNA", at positions 524 to 776 of the family's 1533-position model. The record is from RNAcentral.
GACGUAGGGGGCCAGCGUUGUUCGGAAUUACUGGGUGUAAAGGGUGCGUAGGCGGUGGGGCAAGUGGGGGGUGAAAUCUCUGGGCUUAACCCAGAGGCUGCUUCCAAAACUGCUGUGCUUGAGUGUGGGAGAGGCGCGUGGAAUUGCAGGUGUAGCGGUGUAAUGCGUAGAUAUCUGCAGGAACACCCGUGGCGAAAGCGGCGCGCUGGACCACUACUGACGCUGAGGAACGAAAGCGUGGGGAGCGAACAGG